This 497-nucleotide ribosomal RNA is filed under the name uncultured bacterium. RNAcentral describes it as "partial 16S ribosomal RNA". It matches the Rfam family "Bacterial small subunit ribosomal RNA", at positions 28 to 507 of the family's 1533-position model. The record is from RNAcentral.
GAUGAACGCUGGCGGCGUGCCUAAUACAUGCAAGUCGAGCGAACGGACGAGAAGCUUGCUUUUCUGAUGUUAGCGGCGGACGGGUGAGUAACACGUGGAUAACCUACCUAUAAGACUGGGAUAACUUCGGGAAACCGGAUCUAAUACCGGAUAAUAUUUUGAACCGCAUGGUUCAAAAUUGAAAGACGGUCUUUGUGUCACUUAUAGAUGGAUCCGCGCUGCAUUAGCUAGUUGGUAAGGUAACGGCUUACCAAGGCAACGAUGCAUAGCCGACCUGAGAGGGUGAUAGGCCACACUGGAACUGAGACACGGUCCAGACUCCUACGGGAGGCAGCAGUAGGGAAUCUUCCGCAAUGGGCGAAAGCCUGACGGAGCAACGCCGCGUGAGUGAUGAAGGUCUUCGGAUCGUAAAACUCUGUUAUUAGGGAAGAACAUAUGUGUAAGUAACUGUGCACAUCUUGACGGUACCUAAUCAGAAAGCCACGGCUAACUACGUG